UUGGAGGGCAAGUCUGGUGCCAGCAGCCGCGGUAAUUCCAGCUCCAAUAGCGUAUAUUAAAGUUGUUGCAGUUAAAAAGCUCGUAGUUGAACUUCAGGCCUGGCUGGGCGGUCCGCCUUCCGGGUGAGUACUGCCUGUGGUCGGGUCCUACCUUCUGGCGAAGCGUCAUGGCCUUAACCGGCCGUGGCGGGGAACCAGGACUUUUACUGUGNAAAAAUUAGAGUGUUCAAAGCAGGCACGCGCUUGAAUACAUUAGCAUGGAAUAAUGGAAUAGGACAGUGGUUCUAUUUGUUGGUUUCUAGGACCGUUGUAAUGAUUAAUAGGGAUAGUUGGGGGCAUUAGUAUUCAAUUGUCAGAGGUGAAAUUCUUGGAUUUAUUGAAGACUAACUACUGCGAAAGCAUUUGCCAAGGAUGUUUUCAUUAAUCAAGAACAAAAGUUAGGGGAUCGAAGACGAUCAGAUACCGUCGUAGUCUUAACCAUAAACUAUGCCGACUAGGAAUCGGGCGAUGUUGACAAAAUGACGCGCUCGGCACCUCAUGGGAAAC
RNAcentral lists this ribosomal RNA (546 nucleotides) under Paraglomus occultum. RNAcentral's name for it is "SSU rRNA". It matches the Rfam family "Eukaryotic small subunit ribosomal RNA", at positions 548 to 1098 of the family's 1831-position model. The record is from RNAcentral. Lineage: Eukaryota; Fungi; Glomeromycota; Glomeromycetes; Paraglomerales; Paraglomeraceae.